RNAcentral lists this ribosomal RNA (460 nucleotides) under uncultured bacterium. Its description in RNAcentral is "partial 16S ribosomal RNA". It matches the Rfam family "Bacterial small subunit ribosomal RNA", at positions 338 to 795 of the family's 1533-position model. The record is from RNAcentral.
CCUACGGGCGGCAGCAGUGAGGAAUAUUGGUCAAUGGACGAGAGUCUGAACCAGCCAAGUAGCGUGAAGGAUGACUGCCCUAUGGGUUGUAAACUUCUUUUAUAUGGGAAUAAAAUGUUCCACGUGUGGGAUUUUGUAUGUACCAUAUGAAUAAGGAUCGGCUAACUCCGUGCCAGCAGCCGCGGUAAUACGGAGGAUCCGAGCGUUAUCCGGAUUUAUUGGGUUUAAAGGGAGCGUAGGUGGAUUGUUAAGUCAGUUGUGAAAGUUUGCGGCUCAACCGUAAAAUUGCAGUUGAAACUGGCAGUCUUGAGUACAGUAGAGGUGGGCGGAAUUCGUGGUGUAGCGGUGAAAUGCUUAGAUAUCACGAAGAACUCCGAUUGCGAAGGCAGUUCACUGGACUGCAACUGACACUGAGGCUCGAAAGUGUGGGUAUCAAACAGGAGUAGAUACCCGUGUAGUC